CGAAAUGCGAUAAGUAGUGUGAAUUGCAGAAUUCCGUGAAUCAUCGAAUCUUUGAACGCACAUUGCGCCUCCUGGUAAUUGGGGAGGCAUGCCUGUCCGAGCGUCACUGAAAUCAACUCAAGCACUUUUGUGCGUGGUCGUGGAGGAAGAGUCAGCCUCGUCGCAGUCUCCCCUCUGAAAAUCAAUGGCGGAAAGUCACCGGUACUCUGCGUAGUAGUUACGUUCGCUGAGCUUCUAGUGUCGUUCCCGCCUUCAAACCCCCACAAUUCUCUCGAUUGACCUCGGAUCAGGUAGGGAUACCCGCUGAACUUAAGCAUAUCAAUAAGCGGAGGAAAAGAAACCAACAGGGAUUGCCUUAGUAACUGCGAGUGAAGCGGCAAAAGCUCAAAUUUGAAAUCGGUGUCCAUCGAACGCCGAGUUGUAAUUUGGAGGGACAACUUCGGGCUGAACCACAUCGUAAGUUCCUUGGAACAGGACGUCAUAGAGGGUGAGAAUCCCGUGUCUUGAUGUCGGGUCAAACCAUGUGAAGUGUCUCCGACGAGUC
RNAcentral lists this ribosomal RNA (544 nucleotides) under uncultured Geopora. RNAcentral's name for it is "eukaryotic LSU rRNA". The stretch from base 277 to 544 matches the Rfam family "Eukaryotic large subunit ribosomal RNA", at positions 1 to 266 of the family's 3401-position model. The record is from RNAcentral. Lineage: Eukaryota; Fungi; Ascomycota; Pezizomycetes; Pezizales; Pyronemataceae.